This 72-nucleotide small RNA is filed under the name Xanthomonas oryzae pv. oryzae. RNAcentral describes it as "sX9". The record is from RNAcentral. Lineage: Bacteria; Pseudomonadati; Pseudomonadota; Gammaproteobacteria; Lysobacterales; Lysobacteraceae.
UUGGACGCGUGGUACAUGCCGGUUCCGAGCACCCGCGCCCACCUGACAGCUGCUCGCGACGUGUUGUUCGCC